This 460-nucleotide ribosomal RNA is filed under the name uncultured bacterium. RNAcentral describes it as "partial 16S ribosomal RNA". It matches the Rfam family "Bacterial small subunit ribosomal RNA", at positions 338 to 795 of the family's 1533-position model. The record is from RNAcentral.
CCUACGGGGGGCAGCAGUGAGGAAUAUUGGUCAAUGGACGAGAGUCUGAACCAGCCACGUAGCGUGAAGGAUGAAUGCCCUAUGGGUUGUAAACUUCUUUUAUAUGGGAAUAAAACGUUCCACGUGUGGGAUUUUGUAUGUACCAUAUGAAUAAGGAUCGGCUAACUCCGUGCCAGCAGCCGCGGUAAUACGGAGGAUCCGAGCGUUAUCCGGAUUUAUUGGGUUUAAAGGGAGCGUAGGUGGAUUGUUAAGUCAGUUGUGAAAGUUUGCGGCUCAACCGUAAAAUUGCAGUUGAAACUGGCAGUCUUGAGUACAUGAGAGGAGGGCGGAAUUCGUGGUGUAGCGGUGAAAUGCUUAGAUAUCACGAAGAACUCCGAUUGCGAAGGCAGUUCACUGGACUGCAACUGACACUGAGGCUCGAAAGUGUGGGUAUCAAACAGGAUUAGAUACCCUUGUAGUC